GCAAUUACCUGGCAGGGAGAUACCUAAUCAGAGAGGUGGUUACCCAGGGGCAGCUUAACCAUUGCACUCCGGUAUGCUGGACCCUGCGAAUUACAAAAUGUGGGACAUCUCGAGCUGCAUAAUUUCUGGUAGUGGGGGCACCGCGUUCGCGCUCUCACCCU
Small nuclear RNA from Etheostoma spectabile (orangethroat darter), 161 nucleotides. RefSeq annotates it as U1 spliceosomal RNA. NCBI's taxonomy places the organism in Eukaryota, Metazoa, Chordata, Actinopteri, Perciformes, Percidae. The transcript has a single exon. The record is from RefSeq and is a predicted model, not a curated record.